UUGCGCAGGCACUUUGGUGACUCUAGAUAACCUUGGGCCGAUCGCACGUCCCUGUGACGGCGACAACGCUUUCUAUGGUACUUUCUGCGCCUACCAAGGUGACCAUGGGUAACGGUGAAUCAGGGUUCGAUUCCGGAAAGGGAACCUGAGAAACGGCUACCACAUCCAAGGAAGGCAGCAAGCGUGCAAAUUACCCACUCCCGACGCGGGGAGGUAGUGACGAAA
Pelobates cultripes (western spadefoot toad) is the source of this 225-nucleotide non-coding RNA. NCBI's taxonomy places the organism in Eukaryota, Metazoa, Chordata, Amphibia, Anura, Pelobatidae. The record is from the annotation of a GenBank genome assembly.